RNAcentral lists this ribosomal RNA (681 nucleotides) under Triticum aestivum (bread wheat). RNAcentral's name for it is "partial small subunit ribosomal RNA". Lineage: Eukaryota; Viridiplantae; Streptophyta; Magnoliopsida; Poales; Poaceae. The record is from RNAcentral.
AUGAAACUGCAAGGGGAAGCAUUACUGCAGCUGCUCGGAGGACACUCAAACGAGGCAAAAGAGGAAUCAGCUUGGACUUCCCUGUGGCACAUUAAGGUCCCAUCGAAAAUCAAGGUAUUUCUAUGGAGGCUAUGUCAUGAAUCAAUCCCAACAGCGGGGGUGUUGCACCACUGGAAUAUGUCAACUAUGAGUGUGUGCGCUUUUUGUUCUGCGGAAGAUGACUGGAAGCAUGCACUCAUAGACUGUGUGAUGGCUAGGAGUGUUUGGUCACUUUGUUCAGAGGAGACAGUGGAGACAAUGCUUGGCAAUCUUUCCCUAGAUGCGAAAAACUGGAUUUUCACAAUGCAUGACUCGCUGCCACAGGCGGAAUUUACACGGAUGGUGGUGACCCUUUGGGCAGUUUGGGGAGCAAGAAGGAGAGCUAUACACGAAGAGAUUUUUGAUAGUCCUUUUAAUACUUACUCUUUUAUAACCUCUUAUUUGAGGGAAUUGGAGAUGUUAGAUAAAGGAGUCAGAAGAGGACCAAAGCGAGCUAGCAUUAGACAGUCCACGUGGUUAUCCCCGGCUGAGGGUCAUGCAAAGAUGAAUGUGGACGUGGCAGUGUCCUGCAAGGGGAGUGUGGCGCAGCAGGAGUGGUGUGCCGGGACCAUAAUGGAAGAUUCUUGGGUGCUUCGACUCUAA